This 64-nucleotide transfer RNA is filed under the name Leptocentrus albolineatus. RNAcentral's name for it is "tRNA-Cys". Lineage: Eukaryota; Metazoa; Arthropoda; Insecta; Hemiptera; Membracidae. The record is from RNAcentral.
GCUUUUAUAGUUUAAGUUAAAAUAUUAAAUUGCAAGUUUAAUGAUAUAUUAAUUAUUUAAAGUU